GACGAACGCUGGCGGCGUGCUUAACACAUGCAAGUCGAGCGGUAAGGCCCUUUCGGGGGCACACGAGCGGCGAACGGGUGAGUAACACGUGGGUGACCUGCCCUCAGCUCUGGGAUAAGCCCGGGAAACUGGGUCUAAUACUGGAUAUGACUCCACGGUGCAUGCCGCGGGGUGGAAAGCCUUGUGCGGCUGAGGAUGGGCCCGCGGCCUAUCAGCUUGUUGGUGGGGUGAUGGCCUACCAAGGCGACGACGGGUAGCCGGCCUGAGAGGGCGACCGGCCACACUGGGACUGAGACACGGCCCAGACUCCUACGGGAGGCAGCAGUGGGGAAUCUUGCGCAAUGGGCGAAAGCCUGACGCAGCGACGCCGCGUGAGGGAUGACGGCCU
RNAcentral lists this ribosomal RNA (388 nucleotides) under uncultured bacterium. RNAcentral describes it as "bacterial SSU rRNA". It matches the Rfam family "Bacterial small subunit ribosomal RNA", at positions 28 to 417 of the family's 1533-position model. The record is from RNAcentral.